GGGGGGGGGAGGGGUGCUGGUGGCGUGGGUGGCCACGGCUGGCUCCUGACUGAGCUCUCCCUCAGCCUCGCUGAGAUGGGGCAGAGCUUUGUGUGCAAAUAGCGUCGGGGUGUGUGCUCCCUGAGCACAAGCUCUGGGCCUUCAGGGAGGAAAAGGCCAGCUGGUGAUGUGGACCGGGCCCAAGAGAUGGGUCUGUGUUCUCAGUCAGGAGCCUGUAGGCCACCCGGCCCUUCUCAGACUUGGCUGUGCCUCUGACUGUGACCCCAGGGAGAGAGGUCUUCGAUCGCUGGGGAACAGAAGAAAGAGGGACCUUCUUCUUCCUUACCAUCGCUCCAGAAAUAUGCUCACUCCCCUCGCUCAUCUGAGACAGUCACAGACGACUGAUGGGGUCCCCGACCGACCUUCAAAAUGAAGGAGUUUGCCGUUCGUGGAGGGCUUCUGUCAGACUCCAGCUAGAGACAUUCCACGAGCCCAGAGCGUUCUGAGCAAACCCACAAUGUAAGGCUUCAUUUCCCACACUUUCCUUAUCUUGCCUCAAAGACAUUUCCAUUUUCUCAAUAUUCCAUCCCCAAGAUGUGGUAAUGUUGCUGGUGUUCUAUGUUGGGAAAUGUGUCCCUGGGACCAACUGUGGUGCUAUAAAGAAAAUGAUAGUUUUCCUUCUAAAUGAUUUUAUAUUUACACUAAAGGAUAAAUACAUAAGAUGCACUGAAACCCUCAAGUGAUUGAAAAUAAAUAUAUGGGGGCAUCUGGGUGGCUCAGUCAGUUGAGCGUCCGACUUUGGCUCAGGUCAUGAUCUCACCGUCUGUGAGUUCGAGCCCCGCGUCGGGCUCUGUGCUGACAGCUCAGAGCCUGGAGCCUGCUUCGGAUUCGGUAUCUCCCUCUCUCUCUGCCCCUCCCACACUCAUGUUCUCUUUCUCUCUCCCUCUCCCUCUCUCUCUCUCUCUCUCUCUCUCUUUCUCUCUCUCUCUCAGAAAUAAAGAUUUUUUAAAAAAUUAAAAAAAUAAAUAUAUGUAUUUACUUAAUUCAGUGAUUAAAUAAAUUAAUGUAUUUACUUAAUUGGAGACUGCACCAGGGCCGAAGCACAAAGAGAAAACGUGCAUUAAAAUACAUGGAGGGAGAAUGGCCGUCCAUGCAUUUACCAUUCAGCUGAUAUUGAUCACCUACUACAUGGCUGAUGCUGCUCAGGGCCCUGGGAGGAGGGAGAGGAGAAUUCAGACUUUGCCUUCAUUUCAGGGCCAGUAAAUAAAGGACAUAUGCAUGGAGAUGUUGAUUGUGGCAAAAAAAAAAAAAAAGUGAGGACCCAUCAAGACGGAAAGUUUGAAAAAAGAUUGGUUCCACUUACGGGUCAUGGAACGAUCUGCAGCCCAUCAGAGGCAUGCUUCAGAUCUAUAAGGGCCAACAGGGUGGGAUUUCUGCGAUUCGUUAAUCAGUGGGAUGAGCAAGAUGCCUCGUGCAUGUCGUGUCUCCAGAGUUUACAUCUGCGCGCACUCGGCUGUCGAGAAUCGUGGGCACGGCGAACGACGUGCUGAGACACGUUGCAAGUUACCACGUAGAUCACUCAGAACAUGCGGUUAUGUGUUCAAGAACAAAGGUGUGCAGAGACACAGAGUGGGUCAUCACGUAUUUGUACAACAGCGCACGUGUUCAGGAAAAGCACCUGACUUCGAAAAUUUAGUAAACUAAAUCGGCCUGACCUCCAAACCAGGAUUGGCAGAAACAUGGUGACAGUGGGUCCCUGGAGUUCAGGGGAAUGGUCAUGCCCAAGGGUCUGGGUUUUAUCCUGGAAGGCCAGGAGACCGUGCCUUUUGAGCCCAGGAGGAUGAAGGUAGACUCAGGACACCAACGGAGAGUUUGAGAACAUGCACCGCCCCCCCAUCGCCUCUUUUUUAGUAGACUUUAUUUUUUAGGGAAGUUUCGCUUUCACAGCAAAAUUGAGUGGAAAGUGAAGAGAUUUCUUAUGUACCCCCUACUCCACACACACAAGUCUUCUAUCAACGUCUGGCACCAGAGAGGCACACAGACACCCCAUUACGUCUCCAAGUCCAUGGUUUACAUUAGGGUUCACUCUCGAUGACAUCCAUUCUGUGGAUUUUGACAAAUGCACAUGACACAUGUCCAUCAUUUUAGCGUCCUGCGGAAUAGUCGCACUGCCCUAAAAAUCCCCUGUGGGCCACCAAUUCAUCCCUCCCUCUCUCCUCAUCUCUGGCAACCGCUAAUAUUUUUUCACUGUCUUCAUGGCUUUGCCUUUGACUUCUGUCUUCAUUAACGUUUGCCAGAACGUUAUGUAGUUGGAAUCGUACACGUAUGUAGCCUUUUCAAAUUGGCUUCUUUCGCUCGGCACGGGCGUGGGGUCUUUCGUGUCUUGGCUUGGUAGUACCACACUUGGGUUUAGUGCUGGAUGACAGUUCAUUGUCUGGACGCCUCGCAGUUUACUCAUCCAUCCCCCUAGCAGAGGGCUUCUUGGUUGCUUCGACGUUUUGGCAAAAUUAUGGAUAAACAUUCGUAUGCAGUUGUCCGUGUCAGCGUUACGUUUUCGACUCAUUGCGGUAAACGCCAAGGAGCGCGAUUCCUGGAUCGUAUGAUAAAAUUACGGUUUCUGUGAGAAAAUGUCAGACCGUCUUGCAAAGUGGCUGCACCAUUUUGCAUUCGCAGCAACGAACGGAAGUGUCUGUUGCCUCACAUCCUUGCCAGCAUUUGGUGUUGUCAGUGUUCUGGAUUUGGGCCCUUGUACCGGGUGGGUGGUGAGAUCUCUCCAUUUUAAUUUGCAUUUUCCUGAUGACAUCUGUGUGCACCGUCUUCUCUCCUGCUGAUCUGUCACCUGUAUACUUCCUCAGGGCGUGGCCAUUUGGGUCUUUUGCUCAUUUUCUUUAAGGAUUGGAAGUUAUUAUUUUUAUUUUAAGUUUAUUUAUUUUGAGAGAGACAGAGAGGGGUGGGGAGAGGGAGAGAGAGAGAGAGAGAAAGAGAGAAAGAGAGAGAAUCCCAAGGAGGAUCCUCACUAUCAGCAUGGAGCCCAACAUGGGGCUCGAACACAUGAACCGUGAGAUCAUGACCCAAGAUGAAAUCAAGAGUCAGACACUCGGGGCUCUUGGGUGGCUCAGUUGGUUAAGCGUUUGCAGUUAAGCGUCAGACUUCAUCAUGAUCUCUCAGUUUGUGAGUUCGAGCCCUGCAUUGGGCUCUGUACUGACAGCUUAGGGCCUGGAGCCUGCUUCAGUUUCUGUGUCUCCCUCUCUCUCUGCCCCUCCCCUGCUCAUGCCCUGUCUGUCUCUGUCUCUGUCUCUCUC
Molecule: long non-coding RNA, 3281 nt
Organism: Panthera uncia (snow leopard)
Lineage: Eukaryota; Metazoa; Chordata; Mammalia; Carnivora; Felidae
Exons: 2
Source: RefSeq, a predicted model, not a curated record